This 253-nucleotide ribosomal RNA is filed under the name uncultured bacterium. Its description in RNAcentral is "partial 16S ribosomal RNA". It matches the Rfam family "Bacterial small subunit ribosomal RNA", at positions 524 to 776 of the family's 1533-position model. The record is from RNAcentral.
UACGGGGGGAGCAAGCGUUGUUCGGAUUUACUGGGCGUAAAGGGCGCGUAGGCGGUGGAACAAGUCAGUUGUGAAAUCUCCGGGCUUAACUCGGAAAGGUCAACUGAUACUGUGCGACUAGAGUGCAGAAGGGGCAACUGGAAUUCUCGGUGUAGCGGUGAAAUGCGUAGAUAUCGAGAGGAACACCUGCGGCGAAGGCGGGUUGCUGGGCUGACACUGACGCUGAGGCGCGAAAGCCAGGGGAGCGAACGGG